AUUAGUCAGUACGUUGCAAUUUCUUUAGAGACACAUCACUCCGAAAUUGCUCUCGCAUUUCGGCUCAAAAUUCUUAGUUAUUAUUAGAUUCACUAUUAUAUCAUGAUAGAUAAAAAGCUCUGCCUUAUUUGAAAUGGUAACUAGAAGAAUGCAGUACUUGUGUGUAGAAUAUUGGAGAUGAAACUAAUCGUAUCAAACUAAUAAGUGAUAAACACAAGGAUGAAAGGAACUUAUUACCACUCUGGGAGGCAAAAUGAGCAACAAAAAAAAUAUAAUACUAAAAAGAAAAAAAAAAACAACUGUUUGAAAAUUGAUGAAGAAACAAAAUCUAAAAAAAAAAAUUAAAAGACAAAACAAAAAAAAAAAAUGUAUACAAAAGUUCGUUCAUAAAAGCAGAAGACUGGAACAUUCCCGUUGGAAGUUUCACAUUUCUAGUUCAUUUUCCCCCGAAUGUCCGGGGGAGUUUUACGGUAAGUAAAGGCAUGCGUCUUACCGGAAAGCAGCCCAGACUUCGACGGAAGAUCUUAAAAAAAAAUAUAAAAAUGAGAAAAUCAAAAAACAUGACAUUCAUUGUAAUUUCGACAUAUUAUAUGCUGUAAGCAAGGCAAAGAACUUGAUUGAUAGAUAGAUAUUGUUAAUGAAUUGUUAAAAUAAACAGAAAUUGUUUAAAAA
Molecule: long non-coding RNA, 672 nt
Organism: Aethina tumida (small hive beetle)
Lineage: Eukaryota; Metazoa; Arthropoda; Insecta; Coleoptera; Nitidulidae
Exons: 3
Source: RefSeq, a predicted model, not a curated record